UACGUAGGCAGCAAGCGUUGUUCGGAGUUACUGGGCGUAAAGGGCGCGUAGGCGGACGGCUUUGUCGGGCGUGAAAUUCCAGGGCUUAACCUUGGGGCUGCGUUCGAGACGGGUUGUCUAGAGUUUGGAAGAGGGUCGUGGAAUUCCCAGUGUAGAGGUGAAAUUCGUAGAUAUUGGGAAGAACACCGGUGGCGAAGGCGGCGACCUGGUCCUUGACUGACGCUGAGGCGCGAAAGCGUGGGGAGCAAACAGG
RNAcentral lists this ribosomal RNA (253 nucleotides) under uncultured bacterium. RNAcentral describes it as "partial 16S ribosomal RNA". It matches the Rfam family "Bacterial small subunit ribosomal RNA", at positions 524 to 776 of the family's 1533-position model. The record is from RNAcentral.